RNAcentral lists this unclassified non-coding RNA (500 nucleotides) under uncultured Glomus. Its description in RNAcentral is "SSU rRNA". It matches the Rfam family "Eukaryotic small subunit ribosomal RNA", at positions 591 to 1092 of the family's 1831-position model. The record is from RNAcentral. Lineage: Eukaryota; Fungi; Glomeromycota; Glomeromycetes; Glomerales; Glomeraceae.
CCAAUAGCGUAUAUUAAAGUUGUUGCAGUUAAAAAGCUCGUAGUUGAAUUUCGGGAUCAAUAUGUCGGUCGUGCCUUCGGUACGUACUGGUAUCAUUGGUCUCUCCUUUCUGACGAACCAUGAUGUCAUUAAUUUGGUGUUAUGGGGAGUUAGGACUGUUACUUUGAAAAAAUUAGAGUGUUUAAAGCAGGCUUUAGCUUGAAUACAUUAGCAUGGAAUAAUGAAAUAGGACGUUCGAACCUAUUUUGUUGGUUUCUAGGAUCAACGUAAUGAUUAAUAGGGAUAGUUGGGGGCAUUAGUAUUCAAUUGUCAGAGGUGAAAUUCUUGGAUUUAUUGAAGACUAACUACUGCGAAAGCAUUUGCCAAGGAUGUUUUCAUUAAUCAAGAACGAAAGUUAGGGGAUCGAAGACGAUCAGAUACCGUCGUAGUCUUAACCAUAAACUAUGCCGACUAGGAAUCAGACGAUGUUAAUUUUUUAAUGACUCGUUUGGCACCUUACG